This 427-nucleotide ribosomal RNA is filed under the name Bacillota bacterium. RNAcentral describes it as "Firmicutes bacterium partial 16S ribosomal RNA". It matches the Rfam family "Bacterial small subunit ribosomal RNA", at positions 355 to 776 of the family's 1533-position model. The record is from RNAcentral. Lineage: Bacteria; Bacillati; Bacillota.
UGGGGAAUUGUUCGCAAUGGGCGCAAGCCUGACGACGCAACGCCGCGUGGAGGAUGAAGGUCUUCGGAUUGUAAACUCCUGUUGCCCGGGACGAAAAGCCUCGACCUAACACGUCGAGGUCUGACGGUACCGGGUGAGGAAGCCCCGGCUAACUCUGUGCCAGCAGCCGCGGUAAUACAGAGGGGGCAAGCGUUGUUCGGAAUUACUGGGCGUAAGGGCGCGUAGGCGGCCUGCUAAGUCGAACGUGAAAUCCCCGGGCUCAACCCGGGAACUGCGUCCGAUACUGGUUGGCUUGAAUCCGGGAGAGGGAUGCGGAAUUCCAGGUGUAGCGGUGAAAUGCGUAGAUAUCUGGAGGAACACCGGUGGCGAAGGCGGCAUCCUGGACCGGCAUUGACGCUGAGGCGCGAAAGCCAGGGGAGCAAACGGG